GGGGCUAGUGUAGUCAAGAGAUAUGGGGAGAAGGCAGGAACGGUGGUACUGAUUAGGGAGGAUCAGCGCCUUGACUCACAUUGAAUGGCAGUGCUGGCUCGAAGGGGCCGAAGGCCUACUCCUGCACUAUGUCUAUUGUCUAU
Molecule: long non-coding RNA, 143 nt
Organism: Amblyraja radiata (thorny skate)
Lineage: Eukaryota; Metazoa; Chordata; Chondrichthyes; Rajiformes; Rajidae
Exons: 3
Source: RefSeq, a predicted model, not a curated record